RNAcentral lists this transfer RNA (58 nucleotides) under Neotoma lepida (desert woodrat). It matches the Rfam family "tRNA", at positions 8 to 63 of the family's 71-position model. From Rfam's summary of the family: Transfer RNA (tRNA) molecules are approximately 80 nucleotides in length. Their secondary structure includes four short double-helical elements and three loops (D, anti-codon, and T loops). Further hydrogen bonds mediate the characteristic L-shaped molecular structure. tRNAs have two regions of fundamental functional importance: the anti-codon, which is responsible for specific mRNA codon recognition, and the 3' end, to which the tRNAs corresponding amino acid is attached (by aminoacyl-tRNA synthetases). tRNAs cope with the degeneracy of the genetic code in two manners: having more than one tRNA (with a specific anti-codon) for a particular amino acid; and 'wobble' base-pairing, i.e. permitting non-standard base-pairing at the 3rd anti-codon position. Lineage: Eukaryota; Metazoa; Chordata; Mammalia; Rodentia; Cricetidae. The record is from Rfam by way of RNAcentral.
UAGCUCAGUGGUUAAGAGCACUGGCUGUUCUUCCAGAGGACCUGGGUUCCACUCCCAG